UGGCUGUUGAUAAGUCUGAUCUUUUGCUGGCUUCUUUGUAUUUGUUUGGAGGGGAGGAAUGCAAUCUCUGCAUGCAGAUCAGAGAGCAAGGGAGAGAAAGCAAGGUCUGUUCCAGUGUACCUCUGUAUCCCGAUGAAAGACUAAAACCGCUGUUAAGCUUUCCAUGAAGUUAAUACCAGUUUUACUGCUUCAGAUCCUCCUCCUAGACUCUCAAACAUGCCUGAGACUAGAAGGUUGCUAACACGAUCACAAAACAUAGUCUGAUGUAAGUUUCCGUCUACACGUGCAACAAAACUUUGAAAAAAACCAAGAAUAGAUUCACAUCUCCUAGCUAUUUUGCAUGAAUGUGUAUCCCAUAUAAGCCCUGU
Molecule: long non-coding RNA, 368 nt
Organism: Hemicordylus capensis (graceful crag lizard)
Lineage: Eukaryota; Metazoa; Chordata; Lepidosauria; Squamata; Cordylidae
Exons: 3
Source: RefSeq, a predicted model, not a curated record